AGAAUGUGUCCCAAUCACUGUAACUGUGUGUGUUUUCAGAAAAAGAAUUGCCGUUAAUGUGUCCCUUUCUGCAGAACUGCUUGGAAACAGGACUGGAUACUUAAGAUGAGUGACGUGAGACAGCCAGGUGCCCUGCUCUGGCUUAAAUAGUGUGAGUAUCCUGGGAGCUGAAGAUAUGCAGACUAACUGGUCAGUAAGAACAAUCACUGCUUUCAUGGGAGUUGAAGACCUGAAAACAUGCCUGUGACUGUGUAGUUAGGCUCAAGUGUGUAUCAUCCGCCCUCCAACCUUACCCACCAUGACAGGGGCCCACCCAUCCCUCACCCAUGCAAGCUAUUCUGAAGGUAGCUUUGGGGAAAAUAGGUAUGGACAAGUGUGCUGUAUCCAUUGUGAGAUUUUCUAAUAAAGCAAUCUUCUAUGCCUUGA
RNAcentral lists this long non-coding RNA (426 nucleotides) under Mus musculus (house mouse). RNAcentral's name for it is "predicted gene 13986". The record is from RNAcentral. Lineage: Eukaryota; Metazoa; Chordata; Mammalia; Rodentia; Muridae.